UGGGGAAUUUUGGACAAUGGGCGAAAGCCUGAUCCAGCCAUGCCGCGUGAGUGAAGAAGGCCUUCGGGUUGUAAAGCUCUUUUAGUCGGAAAGAAAAGAUCAUAAUGAACAAUUAUGAUUCAUGACGGUACCGACAGAAAAAGCACCGGCUAACUACGUGCCAGCAGCCGCGGUAAUACGUAGGGUGCGAGUGUCAAUCGGAAUUACUGGGCGUAAAGGGUGCGCAGGCGGUUUUGUAAGUCAGAUGUGAAAUCCCCGGGCUUAACCUGGGAAUUGCGUUUGAAACUGCAAGACUAGAGUGCAGCAGAGGGGAGUGGAAUUCCAUGUGUAGCAGUGAAAUGCGUAGAGAUGUGGAAGAACACCGAUGGCGAAGGCAGCUCCCUGGGUUGACACUGACGCUCAUGCACGAAAGCGUGGGGAGCAAACA
RNAcentral lists this ribosomal RNA (427 nucleotides) under uncultured beta proteobacterium. Its description in RNAcentral is "bacterial SSU rRNA". It matches the Rfam family "Bacterial small subunit ribosomal RNA", at positions 355 to 774 of the family's 1533-position model. The record is from RNAcentral. Lineage: Bacteria; Pseudomonadati; Pseudomonadota; Betaproteobacteria.